This 271-nucleotide ribosomal RNA is filed under the name uncultured bacterium. RNAcentral's name for it is "partial 16S ribosomal RNA". It matches the Rfam family "Bacterial small subunit ribosomal RNA", at positions 83 to 353 of the family's 1533-position model. The record is from RNAcentral.
CUUUGGUGGCGACCGGCGCACGGGUGCGUAACGCGUAUGUAACCUACCUAUAACAGGGGCAUAACACUGAGAAAUUGGUACUAAUUCCCCAUAAUAUUCGGAGAGGCAUCUCUCCGGGUUGAAAACUCCGGUGGUUAUAGAUGGACAUGCGUUGUAUUAGCUAGUUGGUGAGGUAACGGCUCACCAAGGCAACGAUACAUAGGGGGACUGAGAGGUUAACCCCCCACACUGGUACUGAGACACGGUCCAAACUCCUACGGGAGGCAGCAUG